UCUUAUCCAGAGAGGUGGAGGGACUGGCCCUUUGAAGCCUCGGCAACAGCUUUAUAGCAUUGUGCCAAUUCCAGUAGCAUUUGCUUGAAGAUAAG
RNAcentral lists this non-coding RNA (95 nucleotides) under Bacillus andreraoultii. RNAcentral's name for it is "SAM riboswitch (S box leader)". It matches the Rfam family "SAM riboswitch aptamer (S box leader)". From Rfam's summary of the family: The SAM riboswitch is found upstream of a number of genes which code for proteins involved in methionine or cysteine biosynthesis in Gram-positive bacteria. The SAM riboswitch acts at the level of transcription termination control. Lineage: Bacteria; Bacillati; Bacillota; Bacilli; Caryophanales; Bacillaceae. The record is from RNAcentral.